AUGGCGAGCAUGACCAAUGCCGCGGUGAUUUUCGGCAUCCUAGUUUUUCUGCAGGUGUCGUGCGCCUUUUCCAGGCACCCUGCGGAAGGUAAGUUCGAGCUUCGACAGAACGUCCCAGCGGUGAUGACGGUAAACGGCUUCCAGGAAGGAGAGGGGGGCGGCGGGCCGGCGUCUUGCGACGGCCAGUACCACAGCGACGAUGAGUUCGUGGUGUCGCUGUCCUCGGAGUGGUACGCGGGCGGGGCCCGGUGCGGCAGGGGAAUCCGCAUCCUCGACACUUCCAAUAUCGGCAUAGACGCCAAGGUAGUUGAUGAGUGCGCCGGCUGCGACAACGAGGUGGGCGCCUCGUCCCAUAUCUGGAAGAACUUCCAUCUUGACACCAGCGUCGGCCAGGUGGACAUCAGAUGGUCGGACCUGGACGUCUAA
This 426-nucleotide ribosomal RNA is filed under the name Triticum aestivum (bread wheat). Its description in RNAcentral is "partial small subunit ribosomal RNA". The record is from RNAcentral. Lineage: Eukaryota; Viridiplantae; Streptophyta; Magnoliopsida; Poales; Poaceae.